AUACGUAGGGGGCGAGCGUUGUCCGGAAUGAUUGGGCGUAAAGGGCGCGUAGGCGGCCCGGUAAGUCUGGAGUGAAAGUCCUGUUUUUAAGAUGGGAAUUGCUUUGGAUACUGUCGGGCUUGAGUGCAGGAGAGGUAAGUGGAAUUCCCAGUGUAGCGGUGAAAUGCGUAGAGAUUGGGAGGAACACCAGUGGCGAAGGCGACUUACUGGACUGUAACUGACGCUGAGGCGCGAAAGUGUGGGGAGCAAACAGGAUUAGAUACCCUGGUAGUCCACGCGGUAAACGAUGAAUGCUAGGUGUUGCGGGUAUCGACCCCUGCAGUGCCGGAGUCAACACAAUAAGCAUUCCGCCUGGGGAGUACGGCCGCAAGGUUGAAACUCAAAUGAAUUGACGGGG
This 397-nucleotide ribosomal RNA is filed under the name uncultured bacterium. RNAcentral's name for it is "partial 16S ribosomal RNA". It matches the Rfam family "Bacterial small subunit ribosomal RNA", at positions 523 to 918 of the family's 1533-position model. The record is from RNAcentral.